UUACGUAUUAUAAUGACUGAGCCUUGAAAUGGUUUUGAACGCAUUCGAAUACCCGCGAUAAAAGCGACUGUCGACAGACGUCAACGGGUUUUCCUGAUUCUGGUUAACAUCAAUAGAUGGCGCUACGAGUAUCAUUUUGUGCUUCAAAUCAAAACAAUGCACGGAGAGGGUAGAAAAGCAAUUACAUGUUUAUUGCAUAUUCAGCAGGAUUCUCGUUGUUGUCUUGAUUACAAUUUUCACUUGCCGGUUAACAAGUUUUACACCGCACUUUAUGUUUUGCAAAGAUAGUGGCAGUGAUAGCGGGCCCAUGGGACUCUAUAUUGCUAAACUGUGGGUGUGUACACCUGAGCCGAACCCUUCGUAACGUAUACUGUAUAAUGGUGAUGUACGCUAAGCUAAUAGACUGUUGGAGAUGAUAAUGGGAAUUGAUUAACUGUUGCCUUUGCUUCCUACUACCGUAGACGUAUUUUUGCGCAAGCAUUAGUAACGUAGAUCUUACGUAGCUAUAACUUAUAAUGGCUACAGCACCAGUAGUAAGGGUGUAAUAGGGGUGACCCGAGGUAUAAGACAUACAACACACGACAGAUAUCAACAGCAGCCUUUUUUACUAAGCAGGUUUAAUAGAUGACAUAAAAAACAUUUUUUUCUAGUGAUCCUCACUCACGCGCAAACCUUACUUGAAAUAACACACAACAUAAAAAUUCCAAUGUUUUUUUAUUCAAUCUUAUUAAUGAGAUCUAAAUUCAAAAUAGGUAUUCCCUCUCAUAAAAUGAACAGGGUUAACAUCUCGCUAACAGGAAAGAUAAUCGAUUAGUAGGUACACCUGUAUUCGAUUCCUUUUAACAGAAUCCGAGAUUUGAGUGCUUUAUUUUAGAGGUCCGUACUUUCCGCUCUUUUCAUGAAAAAAAUAUGCAAACUAAAACACUUGACGGCUUACUGAAAAAUGUAUUAUUUGUUAUGGAAUUUCAAUUUGGCCCUCACCUUGACUAGCUUUUAGAUUUUGUAAAUUCAUCAUUAUUUAAAAAAGCAAUUUUGCAGAUUACUUGUCAAGAAAUUUAAAUUCCUCUAUUGUUCCACUGAGAACGAUUAAUAAUAACCAUCUAUAUUGUAUAGGAACAUUUUUCCAUACCCGGAAACUUGUCUGUGCUUACUCUACCGUAACUAUGACCUAUAUUCUGCUACAGAAAAAGUGGUUAAGGAAUACGUGCUUAAUUAACAAAAAUAAAUUGCUUUGAAUAUGGAGUUCUGUUCUUUAGCCUCGUAAUAAAUCUUUUCUGUCGUCCCUAGAAUCGCAUCAACAGCAAGAUGGCUAACUUGACCUGACAACUAGAAAUUUUAAGAGAUACCAUUUACAAAAUUGCUCCACUAAAAGACUUGCUUAUGAAUAAUUUUGAUAAAAAACGUAGACUUCUUUUUCUUGGUCAAAAGUUAAAAAGUAAUCGAAAUUAUGUAAGUACUUUAUUCUGUCAUUGUACACGUAGAUAAUUACAUCAAGAAGGUCUAACUUUAGUGUACCCUCCAGUACUGUACCAGUACUUCAUCAACAAUUCAAAAGCAAUAUUUUCAGUUUCACAGUAAAGUUUCAGUCUUUCAUGUGCAAUUAAGUUAUUUAUGCAAAUUAACUUUGUGAAACCUCAUUUCGGAAGCAAAGGUGGUCAGAUAACGAAAAUCCAAUGAAGGGGUCGAAUGUCGUAGUGAAGUCAUACCGUCCUACUCUUGUGAUAUUAUAUUCAACAGACGACACCUCUGUUUUGACAAUGUGAAUUUCUCCGCAGGGAAAGCUGCGCCUCCUUUCUUUGCAACGAAAAUGAGAUUGAGGAAAUUAUUUCAUAGCUGUUUAUACGUAGGAACAAAGCCUCCCGGAUUUUAUGCGGAUAUCCUGUCUAAUAAAGCUAUAACGUCCUGUUAAAUACCUCUCGGCGGAUCUCUUUGCUUCAUAGGUAUCGGCGUAAAGGGAAACUCUCUUUGUAGUCGACGUUAUCGCAAAGACAAUGUAUUGGACGCAGAUGCAAGCUGAGUCGCGCUUAACUCAAACAUAUUUCAUAGAGCUCAAUAUAAGUUGGUACUGAAUAAGUUACUCAUCCUCCAACAAACUUAUCGUAAUUCGGAGUAUUUAUUACGUUGCAGAUAUGUUUUGGACAACAUUUUGUAGGAUCUGAUGGAACAGGAUUUUGUUGAGUAUGUAUGUUUUUGUAAAUAAAUAAGAUUCUUCCUCAAAAGCGGGAACUAUAUAUAUUAUAGAGAAGGGUCUUCGGAGGUCCGAUAUAAAGUGGGUUGGAGUUGUGUAUAAUGGUUACCGCUUUCUAUUAUUCUGAAAUAGCCAAGUGUAGUCAGAAAAGUUAUUACUGAUGCAAAACAUUUCCAUAUAGGUAGGCAAUUUUAUCAAAACGAGUGUCGCGUUGAUUAACGGAAAAUGUGUGUGUAUAAUUCGGUUUUAUCUGUUCGAAAUACAGAUUACAUUACGUCACGUACUGCGUCAUGAAAUAGAAUGUUUGAGUACAUACCGAACAUGGCCGGUCCCGAAAUGUCCGAUGUAAAUUCGCAUACUGGAUGAGGCGGGAAAUUGAGCCAAGUAAUAAAAUUAAAACAUUCUUGAUCUAAGUGCACAUAACUUUGCUAAUGACCUAAGUUCAGAACACUACUUGUGUCGACUAUAUUUUGGCAAACUCAAAGAGCAACUUGAAGAUCAGACAAACAGUACAAAAUAACAAUACUACCAACCUAGUUUCAUAAAACCUUUUAGAAUCAUUAAUUAAAAUCCAUUUGUAAGCAAAUUGGCACAUCAAAUACAAGGAAAUCUUUUGACGAGUGAGCAAAAUAUACAAUAUUAGAUCUGCUAAAUUCGUCCAGGGAAUAUUGAUACGGAAUAAUUGCACGGGCAAAGUGAGGCCUUGGGUAAACCUAUCCUGGGAUAAAAACAAAGUAAAGAUAAAUAUGUAAAAGAUAUUUCUUUUAAUAAAUAUCGGUGGCCUCGUGCUUCACGAUACUUUUAUUAGAUUUUUUGCAUAACGUUAUGUGGAUAUUAUCGGUAAAGAAUAAUCUUAGGUUCCUCAAAAUAUAUUUUGCUCUCCUCUACCCUCAGUUUAGCCGGAAAUUUUAGCCGUUAUUACAGCUGGCAACUUCUGAACUCCGAACUCUUGUCUAAUUUUCAUAAACCGUGGGUCUUGUACGAAUAAAAUUACUUUUAACUGGUUUGGCAAGUGGCGUCUUUAAAGAUAUCUGAAAUGGCUGUAAAUUAUUAAUUCUUCUUAAA
This is a long non-coding RNA of Trichoplusia ni (cabbage looper), 3253 nucleotides long. RefSeq lists it as uncharacterized. Lineage: Eukaryota; Metazoa; Arthropoda; Insecta; Lepidoptera; Noctuidae. The transcript has 3 exons. The record is from RefSeq and is a predicted model, not a curated record.